This 478-nucleotide ribosomal RNA is filed under the name uncultured bacterium. Its description in RNAcentral is "bacterial SSU rRNA". It matches the Rfam family "Bacterial small subunit ribosomal RNA", at positions 34 to 507 of the family's 1533-position model. The record is from RNAcentral.
CGCUGGCGGCAUGCCUUACACAUGCAAGUCGAACGGCAGCACGGGAGCAAUCCUGGUGGCGAGUGGCGAACGGGUGCGUAAUAUAUCGGAACGUGCCCAGUCGUGGGGGAUAACGUAGCGAAAGCUACGCUAAUACCGCAUACGAUCUAUGGAUGAAAGCGGGGGAUCGCAAGACCUCGCGCGAUUGGAGCGGCCGAUAUCAGAUUAGGUAGUUGGUGAGGUAAAGGCUCACCAAGCCGACGAUCUGUAGCUGGUCUGAGAGGACGACCAGCCACACUGGGACUGAGACACGGCCCAGACUCCUACGGGAGGCAGCAGUGGGGAAUUUUGGACAAUGGGCGCAAGCCUGAUCCAGCAAUGCCGCGUGCAGGAUGAAGGCCUUCGGGUUGUAAACUGCUUUUGUACGGAACGAAACGGUGAGCUCUAAUACAGUUUGCUAAUGACGGUACCGUAAGAAUAAGCACCGACUAACUACGUG